CCAUGAAAAGCUACAUACUAGUGCUAUGAAGAAAAACUUUGCCCGUGAUAUUCUGUGGCCAUCAUCUUUCUCAUGCAAAGCCCUGCAUACCAACAAUUUUUGCAUGUAUCAAGCCUAUAAUUUGGACGCUACCUUAUGGACCACAGAUUUUUGCAGUAUGAAAACAAGCUGGAAUGUUUGACAUCAACGUAUUGGCUAAUUGCUAGUAUUGAAGUCAACUGUGUGGAAGUCUGAUAAGCAUAUGGCCCAACUCAAUGUUCUUGCAUUAAUUAAUUGGAUAUAUAUCUAUAUGCAUGUCACUCUCCUCAAUGUAUGCCUCCAUACGAGGAAGUUAAUGAAAUUGAUUCCGCUAUUUCAAUUGAUUAAUUUUAUGGAUUUCUAUUCAUAGUUGAUGCAUGAUUAUCUCUAUUGUCAACUCAAUAAUGCUAUUGUUAUUGUUAUUUUAAUCACUGGAAAUCAAAUGAUACUUCAAAGUUUACACACUCACACACUACACUUAUUACUUGCUAGAUCAAGUGGUACCAAUUAAACGAUAUUGUUAUAUACUAGUAGAGUAUAGAUAAGAUAAACUUACACGUCCAUGGAAUAAAUUAAACAUUUGAGUGAAUUCACAAUUACUAUACCUAA
Non-coding RNA from Cicer arietinum (chickpea), 627 nucleotides. The record is from RefSeq and is a predicted model, not a curated record. Lineage: Eukaryota; Viridiplantae; Streptophyta; Magnoliopsida; Fabales; Fabaceae.